UGACUCUUCAGCGCGAACUGGACCCGGACGGUGUUCGUAGCAGACAGAUGUACCGAAGGGCCGAAUUACCUUAUACAUGUCGAUGGCUAUGACAAACUGAAACGAUUUGGUUUUGCCAUUCACCGUGCAAUAUGCGGGCACAGUUGAUUACAAGAUACUGGUGGGUAAUGAAGACAUCGAAGGAGUGAAAGAACUCUGUACUUUUGUUCAAGUUAAUUCUGAAGUAGUCACUGUAUUAUAACAGGAUAUGGGUGAGAAGAGGCUUAGAAAGCCAUCCACAUAUAGGGAAGCUCUGGAACUGCGGAGAACUAGUUCACUACUGGUACUAAAAUAAUCUACAGAUAGCCUACACAAUGGCAUAGUAGAGCAAAAUUUGAGUGUGCUUUUUUCUGUCUCACUAUCAGGUCUACGUACAGAAAGCGUAUAAAGGAUAAUAUUUACAGUAAUCAAAAUAUUUGAAGAGAAAUACUAAUAGGUUUUGAAGGCAAAAGUGAAUUUCAGUUCGAAAUUCUUAUAGUUAGCCUGAACUCAUAUGUAUACCAACAUUUCUUGUAUUUUACAUGCAACUACACUUCUUUAAGAAAAAUAUCGUAAUGUAUACAUUUGUAUAUCCAAUGUAACUUUGGUAAUUAAAGCAACAUGCAUUACCUUGCUGGGAAAAAUCUAGUUCCACUUGAUGUAUUUUGUUUACGAAAUAUAUUCCCGAAUUAACAGAUGUAUUGAUAAUUAUUGAUUUUUAUUUUUGGAAAUAUUUAUAAAACACUGAUAUCCCAUCCGUAUUUCACAUGCAAAAAAAAAAGUAAUAAAAAUUUUGCAAAGUAAUUAUAACCUACCUGGCAUCAUGCAAAUGAUUGAAAAAAUGUCAUUAUUACCACAAACAUAAAUGCUCAGAAACCAUAAAAUAUCAACUUUGAAAAUAUUUGGGUGAUAAAAUUCUUCGGGCAAUUUUAAGGAAAGUCCGAGUUAUUAUUGCGAUAAAAACCAGUUAAGCCUGGUGUCAUCAUAUCUAACAACUAGUAGGAUUGUUAAAGCAUUAUUCGUUUGUGGUAUGUCCAUUUAUAUAUUGAACAUUUCGUUCGCACUAUUUGUGCGAAAGGUGAGUUUAUUCUGUAAUGAGGUACCAUAUUCAAAGUAAAAUGGAGUGAGCUGUUAGAAUUUGAUGAAUUAAAUUCGGUUCUUUGCAGUUUUACAUUGAUGCGAAAAACAUGAACCAUGGUUGUGUACGACAAACAUUCAGCUUCAACAGCCGUUCUUAUUUCUUCACAAUUGGUUUAGUCAAUAAAAGGACAUGUUGCUCAUAGUAGCCUUCACUCAUAGUCUGCCCUUAA
Pecten maximus is the source of this 1328-nucleotide long non-coding RNA. RefSeq lists it as uncharacterized. The transcript has 2 exons. NCBI's taxonomy places the organism in Eukaryota, Metazoa, Mollusca, Bivalvia, Pectinida, Pectinidae. The record is from RefSeq and is a predicted model, not a curated record.